This 357-nucleotide ribosomal RNA is filed under the name uncultured bacterium. Its description in RNAcentral is "bacterial SSU rRNA". It matches the Rfam family "Bacterial small subunit ribosomal RNA", at positions 1 to 334 of the family's 1533-position model. The record is from RNAcentral.
CUACGUAGCUCAGAGUUUGAUCCUGGCUCAGGAUGAACGCUGGCGGCGUGCCUAACACAUGCAAGUCGAACGAAGCACUUGCGACGGAUUCCUUCGGGAUGAAGAUGCUUGUGACUUAGUGGCGGACGGGUGAGUAACGCGUGGGUAACCUGCCCUGUACUGGGGGACAACAGUUGGAAACGACUGCUAAUACCGCAUAAGCGCACAGUGUCGCAUGACACCGUGUGAAAAACUCCGGUGGUACAGGAUGGACCCGCGUCUGAUUAGCUAGUUGGUGAGGUAACGGCCCACCAAGGCGACGAUCAGUAGCCGGCUCGAGAGAGUGAACGGCCACAUUGGGACUGAGACACGGCCCAA